This 506-nucleotide ribosomal RNA is filed under the name uncultured bacterium. RNAcentral's name for it is "partial 16S ribosomal RNA". It matches the Rfam family "Bacterial small subunit ribosomal RNA", at positions 29 to 523 of the family's 1533-position model. The record is from RNAcentral.
AGUGAACGCUGGCGGUAGGCCUAACACAUGCAAGUCGAACGGCAGCACAGGAGAGCUUGCUCUCUGGGUGGCGAGUGGCGGACGGGUGAGGAAUACAUCGGAAUCUACUUUUUCGUGGGGGAUAACGUAGGGAAACUUACGCUAAUACCGCACACGACCUACGGGUGAAAGAAGGGGACCUUCGGGCCUUACGCGAUUGAAUGAGCCGAUGUCGGAUUAGCUAGUUGGCGGGGUAAAGGCCCACCAAGGCGACGAUCCGUAGCUGGUCUGAGAGGAUGAUCAGCCACACUGGAACUGAGACACGGUCCAGACUCCUACGGGAGGCAGCAGUGGGGAAUAUUGGACAAUGGGCGCAAGCCUGAUCCAGCCAUACCGCGUGGGUGAAGAAGGCCUUCGGGUUGUAAAGCCCUUUUGUUGGGAAAGAAAUCCAGCUGGCUAAUACCCGGUUGGGAUGACGGUACCCAAAGAAUAAGCACCGGCUAACUUCGUGCCAGCCGCCGCGGUAA